CACGUCGGGCGCGCGCGUUGUCCGGACUUCUUGGGCGUAACGAGCUCGUAGGCGGCCUGUUGCGUCCGCUGUGAAAGCCCGGGGCUUAACCCCGGGUCGGCAGUGGAUACGGGCAGGCUAGAGGUAGGUAGGGGAGAAUGGAAUUCCCAGUGUAGAGGUGAAAUUCGUAGAUAUUGGGAAGAACACCGGUGGCGAAGGCGGCGACCUGGUCCUUGACUGACGCUGAGGCGCGAAAGCGUGGGGAGCAAACAGG
This 253-nucleotide ribosomal RNA is filed under the name uncultured bacterium. Its description in RNAcentral is "partial 16S ribosomal RNA". It matches the Rfam family "Bacterial small subunit ribosomal RNA", at positions 524 to 776 of the family's 1533-position model. The record is from RNAcentral.